UACGGAGGGUGCAAGCGUUAUCCGGAUUCACUGGGUUUAAAGGGUGCGUAGGCGGGUCUGUAAGUCCGUGGUGAAAUCUCCGAGCUUAACUCGGAAACUGCCAUGGAUACUAUAGGUCUUGAAUGUUGUGGAGGUAAGCGGAAUAUGUCAUGUAGCGGUGAAAUGCUUAGAUAUGACAUAGAACACCUAUUGCGAAGGCAGCUUGCUACACAAAUAUUGACGCUGAGGCACGAAAGCGUGGGGAUCAAACAGG
RNAcentral lists this ribosomal RNA (253 nucleotides) under uncultured bacterium. Its description in RNAcentral is "partial 16S ribosomal RNA". It matches the Rfam family "Bacterial small subunit ribosomal RNA", at positions 524 to 776 of the family's 1533-position model. The record is from RNAcentral.